AUGUCCAGCUCCACCGCGCCUCGGUCGGCGAGUGGCAGAAGACCGCCUCUGCCGUACAUCGUCGACCCGCUGGACUACGAGCCAGCCGUUUUCUGCAGCUGCGGCGCAAAGGCAGCGCGGCUGACCUCGUGGACAAACGCCAACCCGGGGCGUAGGUUUGCCACAGACCUCUCUGGUACUGGCAAGACCCCAGGCCGAGCCCAUACAUGCGAGAGCUGUUGGUGGAUCUUCGUGACAGGAUUCUUCGGCUCGAGGAAGAGAACGACGAACUGCGCCGAUCAGGAUUACGCAACUUUUGUCCUCUUGAACAGCGUGACCUUAGGUGGCGUUCCGGAAGACAGAGUGGUCACCGCUGCCUGGCGUGCUGCGUUUUUUGUUUUAUUUGCUUUCAUCUCCUCUCUGCCGUGCAUGUGUCGUCAGAGAAACAGAUGCGUUGCAAGGCAAAAAUUAGUGCAGGCAGACGGCGCGCGGAACCAAGUUCCUCUCAUCAGUGUAUGA
RNAcentral lists this ribosomal RNA (498 nucleotides) under Triticum aestivum (bread wheat). RNAcentral describes it as "partial small subunit ribosomal RNA". Lineage: Eukaryota; Viridiplantae; Streptophyta; Magnoliopsida; Poales; Poaceae. The record is from RNAcentral.